CUUCUUCCUUGUUCGAUAUACCCGUGAAGAUCCGGGUUAGAAUUGAUCUUCAGUAACCCAUGUUCGUCGUAAGUUACUAACCGGAUCGGGU
This is a long non-coding RNA of Haliotis rubra (blacklip abalone), 91 nucleotides long. RefSeq lists it as uncharacterized. The transcript has 3 exons. The record is from RefSeq and is a predicted model, not a curated record. NCBI's taxonomy places the organism in Eukaryota, Metazoa, Mollusca, Gastropoda, Lepetellida, Haliotidae.